AUGACAGACUCAAAAUUUCCUGACUUUCAGGCCGGUUCUGAGAGGGCUUCAACGCAUGCAGUGACUGCAAUCGCUGGUGCGAAUAUUGUUUAUGAAUCUG
This is a regulatory RNA element of Candidatus Thioglobus, 100 nucleotides long. It matches the Rfam family "Pyrrolysine insertion sequence mttB". The record is from Rfam. NCBI's taxonomy places the organism in Bacteria, Pseudomonadati, Pseudomonadota, Gammaproteobacteria, Pseudothioglobaceae (SeqCode).